RNAcentral lists this ribosomal RNA (804 nucleotides) under Triticum aestivum (bread wheat). RNAcentral describes it as "partial small subunit ribosomal RNA". The record is from RNAcentral. Lineage: Eukaryota; Viridiplantae; Streptophyta; Magnoliopsida; Poales; Poaceae.
AGGUUGGCUGGUAAAGUGGCGGUCAUCACCGGCGCCGCGAGCGGCAUCGGCAAGGCGACGGCCGCGGAGUUCGUCAGGAACGGCGCCAAGGUCAUCCUCGCCGACGUGCAGGACGACCUGGGCCGCUCCGUCGCCGCGGAGCUCGGCGCGGACGCCGCCUACACCCGCUGCGACGUCUCGGACGAGGCGCAGAUCGCGGCGGCCGUCGACCUCGCCGUCGAGCGGCACGGCCACCUCGACAUCCUCUACAGCAACGCGGGCGUCUCCGGGUCCGCGUCCCAGGCCUCCGUGGGCGCGCUCGACCACGCCGACUUCGACCGCGUGAUGGCGGUCAACGCCCGGUCGGCCGUCGCGUGCAUCAAGCACGGCGCGCGCGUCAUGGCGCCGGGCCGUCGCGGCGGCUGCGUCCUCUGCACGGCCAGCGUCAUCGGCGUGCUCAGCUUCGGCUCCCCGAUCCUCGCCUACGCCGUCUCCAAGGCCACCGUCAUCGCCGCGGUGCGCGCGGCCGCGGGCCCGCUGGCGCGCGACCGGGUGCGCGUGAACGCCAUCUCGCCGCACGCCAUCGCAACGCCGCUCACGGUGCGGUCCAUGGCCGAGAUGUUUCCCGGCGCCGGCGAGGACACGCUGCGGCGGGUGGUGGAGGAGGACUGGAGCAAGCUGGAUGGCACCGUGCUGGAGGUGGAGGACGUGGCCAGGGCGGCGCUGUACCUGGCGUCGGACGAGGCCAGGUACGUGACCGGGCACAACCUCGUCGUCGAUGGUGGGUUCACCGCGUACAAGAGUGUCAGCAUGCCGUUCCUAUAG